UUUUGAGGCUGGAAAUAAUGGAUCACGAAAAGUAGGAGAUGCUGUAGCUUUAAUUAAGGGUGAGGGCAGGAAUCUCCGUAGGAAAGAGAAGCGGGCGAGGAUCGAACAAAUCAGAGCUAACCUUGGGCUUUCAGAUUCACAAAGAACUCCCAUGCCUGGAGAAUCUCUAAGGGAGUUCUAUAAACGUACAAAUCUAUAUUGGCAAAUGGCGGCACAUGAG
This 220-nucleotide unclassified non-coding RNA is filed under the name Hevea brasiliensis (rubber tree). The record is from RNAcentral. Lineage: Eukaryota; Viridiplantae; Streptophyta; Magnoliopsida; Malpighiales; Euphorbiaceae.